CAGAACACACUCCACCACCAGCUAAACGCAGAUCUGCACACACUUCCUGUGAUUGCUCGAGUUGUUGAUAAACAGCGAGCACAUGCUGGAAACUGUUUCUGGCAUUUUGUCUUUGAACAGAUCGACUGAUACUUGUAUUUAACUCCUAAACCAGUAGUGUGACGAUCUGUAGUCUGCCAUGUUUCUGCAAUUACACGCUGAACAAUGAGACUUCUCUGCUCAGGACACUGAUGGAUUUUAUAAAAGAGUUUACUACAGCUGUGACGCACAUCAUUUUGUCUGUCUCAUCACUCAAUGCUGCUUAUUGGCUGUUCAAGAAUCACAGAGCAUCCUCAUUGGGCUUCCUCCUGAUCGGCUGUUCCUCCAUUCUUUCAUUCUUAUCUCCCACUAACCAUAACAUCACGAAUGAUCUGAAAUGGGCAGGUGAAUCACUUGGACCUGUGUUUUUUACAUUUGACCUUCUGUGGCUUAGUGACGACCACAUCACAGCCCGCAUCCUCCUGAUUGGCUCCAGUUUUUUCAUAAUACUGUCUGAUUGGCUGUCGUCAGAUGGAUUGGUCAUUAUGUCCCGCUGCCUGGCCUUUUCUACCCUUUCCUGUUCGCUGACAGUGUGUGCUUUUGCUGAAAAUGUUGCAGGGGCAGUGGGAAGUGUUGCCCUCAGUCUCCCUUUAUUAGUUUCCCCAAGGAACAGAUCUGGAGCUUUGGGUUUCCUUAUGUUGCCUACUGAAGGACUUCUCAGAGGGAUGCUUAAUGUCAUAAUGGCAUUUGGUUGCUGGACUACCAGAAAAGCCCUUAAUAAAUUCCUGAUUGAUUUGAAAAGCUGGGACUGACUUGGGAGGGAAGAAAUGGUUUCCAAAUACAAUAGACCAUUUGUUCUCAGGUUAUUAGCAUAUAUAUGCACUGCUAAUGUGGAUUGUUGCAUGUAAAGGCCUUCUGUCAUAAUAAGCUAAUGUUGCAGUACUGUAUGUUAUACUACACAAAGUAGAGUUUGCUUAUAACCUAUUAAAUCCAUUACAGUGACACUGAAGGCUAGUAAAAACCUUUAGCAAUGAAUAAAUAGUUCAGCAUCAUGAACAAUACAGCUCUUUGUAAAGAAAGAAUGGGACUCUGUUUGGACCAGUGUUGCCAUGACCGCAUAUUAUAAUUUGGUUGCCCAUGGCAAAUUUGCAUACUACUUUAAAUUCGAUAGUUUCCUUAAAUGUCAAAUUGCAACAUACAGUAACCCUGUUUAUGCAGUUUUGGAUUGAUUAUCACAAAAAUAAUAAAUACAUCCUGGGUACACUCUUAAAAAUAAA
Non-coding RNA from Danio rerio (zebrafish), 1295 nucleotides. The record is from RefSeq and is a predicted model, not a curated record. Lineage: Eukaryota; Metazoa; Chordata; Actinopteri; Cypriniformes; Danionidae.